This 167-nucleotide ribosomal RNA is filed under the name Smilosicyopus leprurus. RNAcentral describes it as "partial 12S rRNA". The record is from RNAcentral. Lineage: Eukaryota; Metazoa; Chordata; Actinopteri; Gobiiformes; Gobiidae.
CACCGCGGUUAUACGAGAGGCCCAAGUUGAUAACCACCGGCGUAAAAAGUGGCCGGUAUUAUACUCCACUAAAGCCAAACAUCUUCAAAGCCGUCAUACGCUCUUGAAGACAGGAAGUUCCUCUACGAAAGUGGCUUUAAAUGAUACACCCCACGAAAGCUAGGAAA